CUUUUGCGUCACUGAUGGAUGGACCCGCGGUGCAUUAGCUAGUUGGUGAGGUAACGGCUCACCAAGGCAACGAUGCAUAGCCGACCUGAGAGGGUGAUCGGCCACACUGGGACUGAGACACGGCCCAGACUCCUACGGGAGGCAGCAGUAGGGAAUCUUCGGCAAUGGACGAAAGUCUGACCGAGCAACGCCGCGUGAGUGAAGAAGGUUUUCGGAUCGUAAAACUCUGUUGUUAGAGAAGAACAAGGAUGAGAGUAAAAUGUUCAUCCCUUGACGGUAUCUAACCAGAAAGCCACGGCUAACUACGUGCCAGCAGCCGCGGUAAUACGUAGGUGGCAAGCGUUGUCCGGAUUUAUUGGGCGUAAAGCGAGCGCAGGCGGUUUCUUAAGUCUGAUGUGAAAGCCCCCGGCUCAACCGGGGAGGGUCAUUGGAAACUGGGAGACUUGAGUGCAGAAGAGGAGAGUGGAAUUCCAUGUGUAGCGGUGAAAUGCGUAGAUAUAUGGAGGAACACCAGUGGCGAAGGCGGCUCUCUGGUCUGUAACUGACGCUGAGGCUCGAAAGCGUGGGGAGCGAACAGGAUUAUAUACCCUGGUAGUCCACGCCGUAAACGAUGAGUGCUAAAUGUUGGAAGGUUUCCGCCCUUCAGUGCUGCAGCAAACGCAUUAAGCACUCCGCCUGGGGAGUACGACCGCAAGGUUGAAACUCAAAGGAAUUGACGGGGGCCCGCACAACCGGUGGAACAUGUGGUUUAUUUCGAAACAACCGCGAAAAACCUUACCGGUCUUGACAUCCUUUGACCCUCUGAAAAUAAAACUUCCCCUUCGGGGGCAAAUGACAGUGGUGCAUGGUGUCGUCAACUCGGUCUGAAAUGUGGGUAAUCCCCCACCACCGCACCCUUUUGGUAUUGCCUCUUUAUUGGGCAUCUACCAAACUGCCGGGACAACCGAAGAAGGGGGGAUA
Molecule: ribosomal RNA, 960 nt
Filed under: Enterococcus gallinarum
Lineage: Bacteria; Bacillati; Bacillota; Bacilli; Lactobacillales; Enterococcaceae
Description: bacterial SSU rRNA
Rfam family: Bacterial small subunit ribosomal RNA
Source: RNAcentral